Molecule: unclassified non-coding RNA, 336 nt
Filed under: Polaromonas sp. YR568
Lineage: Bacteria; Pseudomonadati; Pseudomonadota; Betaproteobacteria; Burkholderiales; Comamonadaceae
Description: Long range pseudoknot
Source: RNAcentral
ACUGACGAUGGGGACUACAACAUCAAACUGCGCAAUAUCAAGCGCUUUUUGGAAGAAGGCGACAAGUGCAAGAUUACCUUGCGCUUUCGCGGUCGUGAAAUCACGCACCAGGAACUGGGCUUGGCCCUGCUGGCGCGUAUCCGCGACGAGUUGGCUGAUUUGAUUGUGGUGGAGCAAUUCCCCAAGCUUGAAGGCAGGCAGAUGGUCAUGAUGAUCGCGCCGGGCCGUAAAAAGCCGGGUGGCGCCAAGUCGGCAGCCGAUGCGGCUCCAGCUCCGGCACCGUCCGCAGCCUGAGGCCGGUGGGUAGAGAAAAGAUCAGGGGCGCUUAGCUGCGUU